Molecule: ribosomal RNA, 465 nt
Filed under: uncultured bacterium
Lineage: Bacteria
Description: bacterial SSU rRNA
Rfam family: Bacterial small subunit ribosomal RNA
Source: RNAcentral
GGGCCCGCACAAGCGGUGGAUGAUGUGGUUCAAUUCGAUGCAACGCGAAAAACCUUACCUACCCUUGACAUGCCAGGAAGCCCGAUGAAAGUCGGGUGUGCCCGAAAGGGAGCCUGGACACAGGUGCUGCAUGGCUGUCGUCAGCUCGUGUCGUGAGAUGUUGGGUUAAGUCCCGCAACGAGCGCAACCCUUGUCAUUAGUUGCUACAUUCAGUUGGGCACUCUAAUGAGACUGCCGGUGACAAACCGGAGGAAGGUGGGGACGACGUCAAGUCCUCAUGGCCCUUAUGGGUAGGGCUACACACGUCAUACAAUGGCGCAUACAGAGGGCUGCCAACCCGCGAGGGGGAGCAAAUCCCAGAAAGUGCGUCGUAGUCCGGAUUGAAGUCUGCAACUCGACUUCAUGAAGUCGGAAUCGCUAGUAAUCGCGGAUCAGCAUGUCGCGGUGAAUACGUUCCCGGGCCUU